Mytilus californianus (California mussel) is the source of this 288-nucleotide long non-coding RNA. RefSeq lists it as uncharacterized. The record is from RefSeq and is a predicted model, not a curated record. NCBI's taxonomy places the organism in Eukaryota, Metazoa, Mollusca, Bivalvia, Mytilida, Mytilidae. The transcript has 3 exons.
UGAAGAUUCGUGUUAUUCAAUCCAGUACAUAGAAAGAAAUUGGGAUGAUGCUAAGGACUACUGUAAAUACAACCUAAAUGCGUAUUUGGCUGAAAUUUAAACAGCUGGAGAAAACAACUUCUUGAUGAGUAUCCUCCCAAAACCGACAUAAGAUGACAAUGAUAUAGAGGUUUGGCUUGGUGCAAAUGAUUUGAAAAAUGAUAGACGAUUUAUCUGGAACAAAAGUGGCACCGAGUUUGAUUUUACUGACUGGGGACCAGGAGAGCCUAACCGAGAAUAUGAGGAAUG